UACGUAGGGUGCAAGCGUUAAUCGGAAUUACUGGGCGUAAAGCGUGCGCAGGCGGUUAUGUAAGACAGUUGUGAAAUCCCCCGGGCUCAACCUGGGAACUGCAUCUGUGACUGCAUAGCUAGAGUACGGUAGAGGGGGAUGGGAAUUCCGCGUGUAGCAGUGAAAUGCGUAGAGAUUAAGGGAAGAACACCAGUGGGCGAAAGGCGGCAUCCUGGACCAACACUGACAGCUGAGGAGCGAAAGCCAGGGGAGCAAACGGG
This 260-nucleotide ribosomal RNA is filed under the name uncultured bacterium. Its description in RNAcentral is "partial 16S ribosomal RNA". It matches the Rfam family "Bacterial small subunit ribosomal RNA", at positions 524 to 776 of the family's 1533-position model. The record is from RNAcentral.